GUUCUUGUAGUUAAAUUUUGUAACGACGGCUUUUCAGGCCGUAGAUCUCGGAGAAAGGCCGGGCGAGAAUA
Molecule: transfer RNA, 71 nt
Filed under: Spizella atrogularis (Black-chinned sparrow)
Lineage: Eukaryota; Metazoa; Chordata; Aves; Passeriformes; Passerellidae
Description: tRNA-Glu
Source: RNAcentral